RNAcentral lists this unclassified non-coding RNA (592 nucleotides) under Hevea brasiliensis (rubber tree). The record is from RNAcentral. Lineage: Eukaryota; Viridiplantae; Streptophyta; Magnoliopsida; Malpighiales; Euphorbiaceae.
GGGAUUAACGUGAUGUUCAGAAGACCAUGGGUCAAGUGGGAGGGGCGAAACUUAUCAAUAUUUCCAUACAUGUGAGUAAAUUUGCCCUCAAGUAUGCCAUUGUUAUGACUUAUGAUGGAUGAUUAACAAAUAUGAUAUCAUCCAAUUUCCCGGACCCAAAUAACACUGGGGGAAGCUAGAAGCAUCCUCAAUCAGCCCCCCUAAGAAACAAUAAAUAUAUGGAAAUCAAAAUAAAAGAAGAGAAUUUGGGGCAAGGGGGCAAAAAAUCCCCCGAGGCUUUUUACAGUCAUUCCAGUAGACAAGGUUUAACAGCCAUCAACUCAGUUAGCAACCUAGAGAAUAUCCGCAGCUUCAGGAAUCCAAAGGCAUCAUCAAUAGCUCUGAGAAAGAUGAGAUGGCAUGCACAAGAAAAUGUCCAUAAGUCAAUUCAUCAACCAUGGUUCACUUUCAGCUUGCUCUCAACAAAAGCCUCAUCUAGGGAAUACUGUGUUUGAGAUCAUAACCAUCCAAUCCAUCGCUGGCCAUUGAUUCCAGACCUUGCUGGACUUCAAAGUUUCAGCUAAACAACCAGAAAAUAGACCUCAUCCGAACU